GCGCAUUCUUCAACAGACUCCUGUGAGAUGUCUUCAAUACUGUUGCCUUCUGUGAUCUGUCCUGCAGUGUCCUCUCCUGUAGAUAUAUGCACCCCCCUUUCAGUCUGUUCAGAGCUCUGAACUGUCUCUAUGUUAAUUACUUCGGAUGGAAGCUGCAUAAUAUUGUCUUUUAUGUUCUGUUCAUCAUUGACCUCACCAGUGCCUAUGACCUCUUCAUUUUUUAUACUUCUGUUCUCUUUGUCUUCUCCUUCACCUUUCAACGUUAUUACUGCUUCUGCAAGACUUGCUGCU
RNAcentral lists this unclassified non-coding RNA (291 nucleotides) under Hevea brasiliensis (rubber tree). The record is from RNAcentral. Lineage: Eukaryota; Viridiplantae; Streptophyta; Magnoliopsida; Malpighiales; Euphorbiaceae.